GAUGAACGCUGGCGGCGUGCCUAAUACAUGCAAGUCGAGCGAACAGACGAGGAGCUUGCUCCUCUGACGUUAGCGGCGGACGGGUGAGUAACACGUGGAUAACCUACCUAUAAUACUGGGAUAACUUCGGGAAACCGGAUCUAAUACCGGAUAAUAUAUUGCACCGCAUGGUUCAAUAGUGAAAGACGGCUUUUCUGGCACGUAUAGAUGGAUCCGCGCCGCAUUAGCGAGUUGGGCAGGUAACGGCUUAGCAAGGGAACGAGGCGUAGACGAACUGAGGGGGUGAUAGCCCACACUGGAACGGAACCACCGACAAGACUACUAAGGGAGGGCGCAGUAGGCAACCUUACGCAAUAGGCGAAAACAUGGCGGAGCAAGGCCGAGUGAGAGAUGAAGGUCUUCGGAUCGUAAAACCCUCUUAUUAGGGAAGAACAAAUGUGUACGUAACUAAGCACGUAUUGACGGUAACUAAUAAGAAAGCACCGGCUAACUACGUG
RNAcentral lists this ribosomal RNA (497 nucleotides) under uncultured bacterium. Its description in RNAcentral is "partial 16S ribosomal RNA". It matches the Rfam family "Bacterial small subunit ribosomal RNA", at positions 28 to 507 of the family's 1533-position model. The record is from RNAcentral.